CCACGCCUAGCGAGUAGUCCUUAUCUUCAUCGCCAUUAUCCGCGGCUGUCUGUGUGAGAGCCAAGGAGACGGCGUCUUUCUGCCUCCCUCCUCCUUUUUGAAUCCUAGUUUGCGCAUUCCCACCGCUCCUUACACGCUCUCUUCGUGCGCUUCUCUCUACUCUCUGUGUGCCUCCCCUGUCGACCUGUGCGCAGCCCCUCUCCCUUUCCCUCAUUGUCCCCCUUCUCCCUACACGCCCAUCCCCUUGACGCGUCAUUCUUGACGAAGCGCACAUCGAGAUUGACACGCGUGCUGCAGUCAGUGAGGGAGGCACCGCCUGUCUUUGCAAUGACCCGUCACAGCAAAUCUGUGAGGGCGGCUUCGGCUGGCGUGGUGCUGGCAAUGAUUGUGAUGGCGGCACUGUGCUGCACGUCAGCGGUGUGCGCCCCUGCCACCGCGCGCACGAGCUUCGAAAACGGACGCCGAUUUGCGGCGAUUCCGGAGAUGCCUGCGGUGGUGAAGCAGAUCUGGAGUGUGCCGCCGAACUCCGCUGCGGGCGCAGGCAGGCCGUCGCACGUGAUGGUGAACGCGCCCCCCAAGUACGAGUGGGCCGAUCAGGAGUAUCCGCCAAACAGCGCUUCGCAAACGGAGCUCACGCUGGCGUUGGCGGCGGAACGUGUGCACAAAGACGCAGACCACGUUCGUGCCUCCUCGCCCGGCGUCGUUGCUAUGAAUACUGCUGCGAUCGCUCCGGCCGAUCAGCCGCACAUAAUGCCAGCGGCCUUGCCCGCGCAGCUCCUGCGCAGCCCUCUCGCAAAUGGAGAGGCCGCGCCCUCGCUGGAGCAGCUCAGCAAGGUAUUGAGCUUGUUGCCGAGUCACCAGCGCAAACAGCUGGUGCAGCCCUCGUACAGGGCCACCGGGCAACUCGCAGUGGAGCAGGACGGCCAAAAGAUCGCAGUGGAGGUGGCACCUGCGGCAUUGACGGCAUACGCUGGCUCCUCCGGCUCCUCUGAGGGGUCGACGAGCCGAGAGGACAAUCGCGGUGCCAUCCUUUCCAGCGGCGUAAUCGCCUCCUUCACCGUCGCUCUCACCUUCGCCGGCCUGCUGCUGAUCUUGGUGUUGGCAGAGGCUUGCGCAAUGGCCAGCGCGUUCAUGGAGGAUCGCCGGAUGCGUGCGACCCGAGAUGCGAAGGGUGCCGAUAACCCCGUCGAGCCCAAGAACGGCGACUUCCGCGAUACCGCCGUCGAUGUGUAGGUUUAAUGUCGGCACUUCGUGCUCGGUGGCGGGGAGUGCGCGACUCGGGGUGGGGGACGGCCUAAGAGGGGGAUGAGGCGUCAAAGUUGGAGUGGGCACGCGAGUGCGUGUGCGCUUGAGCUGCCGGCGGCGGAGGCGAGGAACGCGCAAGACGCAGGAGUGGCAGUGGCUCUGAUAGUAGAGUCAAGGUGAGAGGGGAUGCAAAGGAGAUGCAGGGCGCCGGCAAAUGGUGCGCCCUGCAUCUCAUCCCCAUUUCCCUUCCGCGCCACGUCUUCUUCUCUUCGUGCUCUUUCCAUCGCUGCUUUCCUGGUCGGAUGCGCCCACAGGUGUGCACGCGCGCGUGUGGUGUGUGCGUGCGUACUUGAGAUGGCCACACUGUCCUGUACGAUCUGACCGCCGCCACCGACACCGCCCUCCCUCCCUCCCUUUCUCCUUUCUCUUGUCUCAUUCUCGCUGGACUCUACUUCCGUCUUCGUUUCGCUUCUCUUAUCUCUCUUCUCUCCAUCUCCCCUUUAAUGGGUACGCGGGCUGCGGUCUGCUUGGUGCUUCAUUGUCACCCUGUGCGCCGCUCUCCUCCGGUCGUUUGCCAUUGGAAG
This 1829-nucleotide unclassified non-coding RNA is filed under the name Leishmania donovani. Its description in RNAcentral is "gene:LdHU3.28.3600(CDS-product:hypothetical_prote in_conserved)". Lineage: Eukaryota; Euglenozoa; Kinetoplastea; Trypanosomatida; Trypanosomatidae. The record is from RNAcentral.